This 23-nucleotide ribosomal RNA is filed under the name Laccaria aff. montana AWW446. Its description in RNAcentral is "partial 18S ribosomal RNA". Lineage: Eukaryota; Fungi; Basidiomycota; Agaricomycetes; Agaricales; Hydnangiaceae. The record is from RNAcentral.
UAGGUGACCUGCGGAGGUCAUUA